CGCCUCAGUACAGUCAACAUGAACAAUACCUGAGGCAAACAAGGGUAGAUAAUAAUUGAGUGAAGUAAACUGCAAUGUGUGCUAUGUUACUGGAGUGUUAAAAACAGUACAGGAGAUCUUGUUAAUGUCAUAAUGUAUUCCCUAAUUUUGAACGAUAUAUUGUGUAUUUUGAAUGUCUUUUUAAGCACGAGAUCCAAGGCAAUAUCUAUUGUAAUCUGUACAUGUAUUGAGAAUGUUCUCCUUUUUGGAUUACUUUUGGCUCUUCCUCAAAGUUCUCAAAUGUCAGAAUUUUUUUCCCCACAUGACAAGGUAGACUGGACUUCACUCAGACUCGACUGCACCUCAAUAAUUCUGUUCAUUCUAACCCGAUCGGGUCGAUCCAGAAGGCGCUGGAGCAGUUCUUCAGAGAGGAGGGUAUAGAGUAUGCCUGCGGAGAAUGUGACUGCAAGCAGGCUAUAGUCGCGCAUAAGUUCACUAAGCUACCAAGGGUAAUUAUCAUUCAUCUUAAGCGCUACAAAUUUGACGCCUGACGCCUUCCAGUACUCCAAGCUCCGUCGCCGCAUCCUCAUACCCAGGUACUUGUCCGUCCACUACCACUGCACCAAGGAAACCCAGAGUCCAACCUCUCUCCCAAAGUCAUUAGUCAACGGGACGUCAUCUCCAAGGCCACAACAACUCAAUGCCGAGAGAACUCAAAGGUUGUCCCUCACAGCCCCGUCGACGAGGGAAUCUAAUUGGUCUGCAAGGAGCGAGUCGUUUAAGCCCUCGCGCUUCAGUUUUGCGCCCUCAAGGAAGAGGCUGAACUAUGACGACAACAGGUCUAAAAGAGAAAUGACAAGACAAGCACAUAAGAAAAUGAGAUGAUGGAAAACCUCUUUAGUUGUUUGUGUUCUGCUCAGAUGUUGCCUAGCGACUAGGGAU
Molecule: long non-coding RNA, 921 nt
Organism: Asterias rubens (European starfish)
Lineage: Eukaryota; Metazoa; Echinodermata; Asteroidea; Forcipulatida; Asteriidae
Exons: 4
Source: RefSeq, a predicted model, not a curated record